UAAGGAAUAUUGGACAAUGGGCGGAAGCCUGAUCCAGCCAUGCCGCGUGAAGGAAGAAGGCGCUCAGCGUUGUAAACUUCUUUUGGACGGGAACAAAGGCGUUUCUGCGGAAGCGUUUAAGGGUACUGUCAGAAUAAGCACCGGCUAACUCCGCGCCAGCAGCCGCGGUAAUACGGAGGGUGCGAGCGUUAUCCGGAAUCACUGGGUUUAAAGGGUGCGUAGGCGGUAGGGUAAGUCAGUUGUGAAAUUCCCCGGCUUAACCGGUGGGACUGCUAUUGAUACUGCUUUACUUGAAGCAGGUUGAGGUGAGCGGAAUGUGGCAUGUAGCGGUGAAAUGCAUAGAUAUGCCAUAGAACACCGAUUGCGAAGGCAGCUUGCUGGACCUUGAUUGACGCUGAGGCACGAAAGCGUGGGGAGCGAACAG
This 424-nucleotide ribosomal RNA is filed under the name uncultured bacterium. RNAcentral describes it as "bacterial SSU rRNA". It matches the Rfam family "Bacterial small subunit ribosomal RNA", at positions 355 to 775 of the family's 1533-position model. The record is from RNAcentral.